UACGAAGGGGGCUAGCGUUGCUCGGAAUUACUGGGCGUAAAGCGUGCGUAGUCGGUAUUGAGAGUCGCGGGUGAAAUCCCAGGGCUUAACCCUGGAACUGCCUGCGAGACCUCAGUACUAGAGUGUGAGAGGGGAUAGUGGAAUACCAAGUGUAGCGGUGAAAUGCGUAGAGAUUUGGUGGAGCACCGGUGGCGAAGGCGGCUAUCUGGCUCACAACUGACGAUCAGGCACGAAAGCGUGGGGAGCAAACAGG
RNAcentral lists this ribosomal RNA (253 nucleotides) under uncultured bacterium. Its description in RNAcentral is "partial 16S ribosomal RNA". It matches the Rfam family "Bacterial small subunit ribosomal RNA", at positions 524 to 776 of the family's 1533-position model. The record is from RNAcentral.